Molecule: transfer RNA, 72 nt
Filed under: Camelus bactrianus (Bactrian camel)
Lineage: Eukaryota; Metazoa; Chordata; Mammalia; Artiodactyla; Camelidae
Also listed under: 1 other name
Rfam family: tRNA
About the family: Transfer RNA (tRNA) molecules are approximately 80 nucleotides in length. Their secondary structure includes four short double-helical elements and three loops (D, anti-codon, and T loops). Further hydrogen bonds mediate the characteristic L-shaped molecular structure. tRNAs have two regions of fundamental functional importance: the anti-codon, which is responsible for specific mRNA codon recognition, and the 3' end, to which the tRNAs corresponding amino acid is attached (by aminoacyl-tRNA synthetases). tRNAs cope with the degeneracy of the genetic code in two manners: having more than one tRNA (with a specific anti-codon) for a particular amino acid; and 'wobble' base-pairing, i.e. permitting non-standard base-pairing at the 3rd anti-codon position.
Source: Rfam by way of RNAcentral
GGAUGUAGAGCUCAGUGGUAGAGUGCAUGCCUAGCAUGCAUGAGGUCCUGGGUUCAAUCCCCAGGACCUCCA